AUGGCUGGGAGAGGGGUCCAAGUGAAUAGAGGGGAUGUUGCUAGACUUUGGAUGUAUGCUCUAGAAGGAAAGAUUCCUUUAAAAGAUAAAUUCCCUAUGCUUUUUUAUAUCUAUGUGGAACCAAACUGUACUGUAGACAAAAUAAACAAUAUGAAUCAUGUCUCUUCUUUUAGAAGAAGAUUGCCUCCUGAGUUGAUGCAACAAUGGGGAGAGGUGAAAAAAGAUGUUCAAAAUCCAAUUCAAAAUGAGCUCCCUGAUGAGGUAUACUGGGGACUUGAUAAUACUAGAAAGUACACAACAAAAUCAAUGUAUAGGUGGCUGGAAAAGGACCUUGCUGGAUCAUGCUUUAAAUGGAUUUGGGAGGCAUGCAUGCCUCUAAAAAUUUAA
This 387-nucleotide ribosomal RNA is filed under the name Triticum aestivum (bread wheat). RNAcentral's name for it is "partial small subunit ribosomal RNA". The record is from RNAcentral. Lineage: Eukaryota; Viridiplantae; Streptophyta; Magnoliopsida; Poales; Poaceae.